Long non-coding RNA from Corapipo altera (White-ruffed manakin), 2266 nucleotides. RefSeq lists it as uncharacterized. The transcript is spliced from 2 exons. Lineage: Eukaryota; Metazoa; Chordata; Aves; Passeriformes; Pipridae. The record is from RefSeq and is a predicted model, not a curated record.
GGUGAGAGUGGUCCCACCAGGACAGAGCCCAGCCCCCCAGAAGAACCAGCCCAGUGACCCUGCAAACACAACUGUACAUAGGAUCUGCUCUCAGACACCUCCACGCUUGGUUUGUCCAUCACCAAUAAAACUGUUGGUUUUUUAUGUCCUUCUGGGUCCUGAGUGCAGCCGUGUUUCCCUCUGGGAUGGACCAUCCUGACCUACACUUGGUGUUUGAUGCUGCUUGAGGUGCACUGGGGUGUCCAAAACAUCUGAACAAGGCUGACAGGAAAGGCCAUGGCAGGAUCCAUACUUUCAAGGAGAUAAAUCCAAGACAGAGGUAUGAUUUGUCCUCCAGAAGUGCGUCUUCCUCUCCCACAGAAAAGACAAGGUGAACCAGGGUAUAUAACUCACAUUAUCCAACCUGAUCUAGCAGAAGAUGUUCCUGCUCGUUGCAGGGGGUUUGGACUAAAUGACUUCUAAAGGUCUCUUGUGACCCAAAUAGAUGCCACUCACAUCACAUGAGGGACAUCACUGCCUCUUUUCCUGCAUGUGCUGAUCUACUGAGUGGAAUUAUGAAUGGGAAUGGGCCAAGGCCAAGUUCACUUACAGCAGCUCCUCAACAGGGAGUAAAUGUUGUUGACUGUGGAGCUAAGAAGGAAGAGGAAUUGCCUGUUGUGAUGUGGUCUGGAGCAGGACCCCAGAAGCAAGUCUUCACCUUGGAGGUGGUGAGGUGGCAAGGAGGUGGUGUAGGGUGAGCAACAAUAGAGAUGUCUUGAAGGUGUGAGGAGAGAGAUGGCUUGACAGGAUAUGAAAGUCUCCCAGAGAGAAAAGUUGGAAGAUUCCUUUCUGGAAAACAUACAGUAUAUGGUAUCUAGGACAUGCAAGCAAUGAAGUGGACUUAAUUCCCAACCUAAAACCUCCAGCUACACACGUGGCUUCAGCCUAAACCCACUCUGCUAUCUAAGCCAGGGGGACUAGUCUUGUCCUGAAGGAAACAGGGAAACCAGUAAAACCAGCUGACAGUUGUCAGCCAGUGGAGAUCUAUCCCAUCUCUGCCUGGACUGUGAGCAGGGAAAGAUUCCCUCACUCCUCCUGAACCAGUGAGGGACUGGGCUCCUGUGGGUUCCGUGCUGAAAUAGCCCAUCCUUGCUCCCAGAUCUGCAGGUUGCAAAUACGGCGGCAAUUCCUUCAUGCAGUCCCCUCUCCUGGAUGCUCCUCCUCUCCGUUGAGGGACGGUCCUGCUCCACGGGGCCCUCGGAGAGCUCAGCCAGAGGUUAGCAGCCACUCCGGCUCACAGGAGCCAUCAUUCCCAUCGGGAGAUAAGGCUCCCCUUGAUAACAAGACCUGCCAGAAACGAGCCUCUAGUUUUUCCACCUUUUUGAAGUCUCUCCGGUGAAGUUUUGCAGAACCUUGUCUCUUUGCCAAAGUAACCAACUUCCAGCUCCAGCCUUUGCCUUCCCUCCUUUUCCCCGACCUCCUCCCCCUGCCUUCCCUCUUCCUCCUCGCUCCUCCGUGCACACGCCUCUCCGUGGGGCUGAUAGAGAUGCUGGAGGGGGUGGACACAACGAGGGGAUGAUGUCAUCUGUUUUUGGCCCUUCAGAGGAGCAGGCGCUGCCGCAGGAGGAGGCAGGGGUUAGACACGUCUGCCUCUACCCAGCCUGGCGCCGGGAGCAACUGGGAGCCUUCCCUUGGCAGCCGCCCCUGUGCCUUAUCAGGGGCAGGAUGACACCUCGGGGACGGGAUGCCGGGGCUGCAAAGGGAAAGGAGGCGGGGAGCCUCUGAAUGUGAGCCUUGUGAGAGGCGUGGACGCCUGGGUGUGCACAGGGCUGUGUGUGUGUGUGUGUUUGAGCUCACUGGAAGCAGGGAAAUCGCUCCCAGCAGGAUGGAGCCGGCUAUCAGCCGCCGGAGAAGCAAAGAAAACGACUCUGUGCCAGAGCCCAGCUGAGUCAAGGGCGAUGCUGUCACCCAGCUCCGCUCCUGUCGAGGCCUGGGAAAGUUUAACCUUUCAUAUCCCAGGCAGACAACCUGGAAAAUCCUGUGCGACCAUCUGAAAAGUGUUAGAAGAUCCUCCUUGCCAUCAAAGGAAGAGGUCAGGGCAGAGGGAGGGAAGUGAAUCGAUCUGUCCCACACCCAAAGCUUGAGAUCAGGAGAGAUCUCAAGCAGAGCUGGGUACAAGUUUACCAUGGAAAUGGUUUUGAGAUGGAGCACUGUGUUCCUCUCCAGAAGAUUUUGGCAAUUUUUUUUUUCCCACUUGAAAUGGCCAACCUUCAUUCCCCUUAAAACA